UUAAGCGACUAAGCGUACACGGUGGAUGCCCUGGCAGUCAGAGGCGAUGAAGGACGUGCUAAUCUGCGAAAAGCGUCGGUAAGGUGAUAUGAACCGUUACAGCCGGCGAUGUCCGAAUGGGGAAACCCAGUGCAAUUCGUUGCACUAUCGUUAACUGAAUACAUAGGUUAACGAGGCGAACCGGGGGAACUGAAACAUCUAAGUACCCCGAGGAAAAGAAAUCAACCGAGAUUCCCCCAGUAGCGGCGAGCGAACGGGGAGCAGCCCAGAGUCUGAAUCAGCUUGUGUGUUAGUGGAACGGUCUGGAAAGUCCGACGGUACAGGGUGAUAGUCCCGUACACCAAAAUGCACAGGUUGUGAACUCGAAGAGUAGGGCGGGACACGUGGUAUCCUGUCUGAAUAUGGGGGGACCAUCCUCCAAGGCUAAAUACUCCUGACUGACCGAUAGUGAACCAGUACCGUGAGGGAAAGGCGAAAAGAACCCCGGCGAGGGGAGUGAAAAAGAACCUGAAACCGUGUACGUACAAGCAGUGGGAGCACCUUCGGGUGUGACUGCGUACCUUUUGUAUAAUGGGUCAGCGACUUAUAUUCUGUAGCAAGGUUAACCGUAUAGGGGAGCCGCAGGGAAACCGAGUCUUAACUGGGCGUUAAGUUGCAGGGUAUAGACCCGAAACCCGGUGAUCUAGCCAUGGGCAGGUUGAAGGUUGGGUAACACUAACUGGAGGACCGAACCGACUAAUGUUGAAAAAUUAGCGGAUGACUUGUGGCUGGGGGUGAAAGGCCAAUCAAACCGGGAGAUAGCUGGUUCUCCCCGAAAGCUAUUUAGGUAGCGCCUCGUGAACUCAUCUUCGGGGGUAGAGCACUGUUUCGGCUAGGGGGUCAUCCCGACUUACCAACCCGAUGCAAACUACGAAUACCGAAGAAUGUUAUCACGGGAGACACACGGCGGGUGCUAACGUCCGUCGUGAAGAGGGAAACAACCCAGACCGCCAGCUAAGGUCCCAAAGUCAUGGUUAAGUGGGAAACGAUGUGGGAAGGCACAGACAGCCAGGAUGUUGGCUUAGAAGCAGCCAUCAUUUAAAGAAAGCGUAAUAGCUCACUGGUCGAGUCGGCCUGCGCGGAAGAUGUAACGGGGCUAAACCAUGCACCGAAGCUGCGGCAGCGACACUAUGUGUUGUUGGGUAGGGGAGCGUUCUGUAAGCCUGCGAAGGUGUGCUGUGAGGCAUGCUGGAGGUAUCAGAAGUGCGAAUGCUGACAUAAGUAACGAUAAAGCGGGUGAAAAGCCCGCUCGCCGGAAGACCAAGGGUUCCUGUCCAACGUUAAUCGGGGCAGGGUGAGUCGACCCCUAAGGCGAGGCCGAAAGGCGUAGUCGAUGGGAAACAGGUUAAUAUUCCUGUACUUGGUGUUACUGCGAAGGGGGGACGGAGAAGGCUAUGUUAGCCGGGCGACGGUUGUCCCGGUUUAAGCAUGUAGGCUGGUUGUCCAGGCAAAUCCGGAUAAUCAAGGCUGAGGUGUGAUGACGAGGCACUACGGUGCUGAAGUAACAAAUGCCCUGCUUCCAGGAAAAGCCUCUAAGCAUCAGGUAACAUUAAAUCGUACCCCAAACCGACACAGGUGGUCAGGUAGAGAAUACCAAGGCGCUUGAGAGAACUCGGGUGAAGGAACUAGGCAAAAUGGUGCCGUAACUUCGGGAGAAGGCACGCUGGUGUGUAGGUGAAGUCCCUGCGGAUGGAGCUGAGACCAGUCGAAGAUACCAGCUGGCUGCAACUGUUUAUUAAAAACACAGCACUGUGCAAACACGAAAGUGGACGUAUACGGUGUGACGCCUGCCCGGUGCCGGAAGGUUAAUUGAUGGGGUUAUCCGUAAGGAGAAGCUCUUGAUCGAAGCCCCGGUAAACGGCGGCCGUAACUAUAACGGUCCUAAGGUAGCGAAAUUCCUUGUCGGGUAAGUUCCGACCUGCACGAAUGGCGUAAUGAUGGCCAGGCUGUCUCCACCCGAGACUCAGUGAAAUUGAACUCGCUGUGAAGAUGCAGUGUACCCGCGGCAAGACGGAAAGACCCCGUGAACCUUUACUAUAGCUUGACACUGAACAUUGAGCCUUGAUGUGUAGGAUAGGUGGGAGGCUUUGAAGCGUGGACGCCAGUCUGCGUGGAGCCAACCUUGAAAUACCACCCUUUAAUGUUUGAUGUUCUAACGUUGGCCCCUGACCGGGGUUGCGGACAGUGUCUGGUGGGUAGUUUGACUGGGGCGGUCUCCUCCCAAAGCGUAACGGAGGAGCACGAAGGUUAGCUAAUCCUGGUCGGACAUCAGGAGGUUAGUGCAAUGGCAUAAGCUAGCUUGACUGCGAGCGUGACGGCGCGAGCAGGUGCGAAAGCAGGUCAUAGUGAUCCGGUGGUUCUGAAUGGAAGGGCCAUCGCUCAACGGAUAAAAGGUACUCCGGGGAUAACAGGCUGAUACCGCCCAAGAGUUCAUAUCGACGGCGGUGUUUGGCACCUCGAUGUCGGCUCAUCACAUCCUGGGGCUGAAGUAGGUCCCAAGGGUAUGGCUGUUCGCCAUUUAAAGUGGUACGCGAGCUGGGUUUAGAACGUCGUGAGACAGUUCGGUCCCUAUCUGCCGUGGGCGCUGGAGAAUUGAGGGGGGCUGCUCCUAGUACGAGAGGACCGGAGUGGACGCAUCACUGGUGUUCGGGUUGUCAUGCCAAUGGCACUGCCCGGUAGCUAAAUGCGGAAGAGAUAAGUGCUGAAAGCAUCUAAGCACGAAACUUGCCCCGAGAUGAGUUCUCCCUGAGACUUUAAGUCUCCUGAAGGAACGUUGAAGACGACGACGUUGAUAGGCCGGGUGUGUAAGCGCAGCGAUGCGUUGAGCUAACCGGUACUAAUGAACCGUGAGGCUUAACCUU
This 2900-nucleotide ribosomal RNA is filed under the name Klebsiella pneumoniae. Its description in RNAcentral is "bacterial LSU rRNA". It matches the Rfam family "Bacterial large subunit ribosomal RNA". The record is from RNAcentral. Lineage: Bacteria; Pseudomonadati; Pseudomonadota; Gammaproteobacteria; Enterobacterales; Enterobacteriaceae.